CAACCGCACUGUUGCCAGAUUUACUUAUUUUCUUUUAGCGGGAAUUUUAAAAUAUCUAAUGUCAGUUGGUUUAAAAUUUGACAGUUGUGUUUUCUUGACUCCGAAUCUUAACCUUACUUUACAGGUGAUUUGAUUAUGUACAAAAAAUGUACAAUGUAAAUAAAUUGAACCAAGUAAUGUACUAUGAUAUGUUAUAAUUUAAAACUCGUUAUGUUACAGUCUUUUGAAAAAAAUUAAACUCAAACGAGAUAUACUUGUUUACAGUGCAAAUUAAUGGCAAUAAUAGGGAUUUACGAUUUAAUUUGCAGGAAAAACAUGGGCAACCUACCCAGUUGGUAAAAUUUCAAUUCAAAAAAUUGUUAGAUUUUACUGUGUGGAUGUCACAGGAAGAGAAACAAAAUAAUAUUCAGUCACAGGAGUACAAGAACAUGAAACAUCUUAUUAUGUAUGUAUGCCAUUCUCAAACAAUUAUUGUACAAAACAAGAUAGAGAAAGAGCUUUAAAAUCCCAAGGAUCCUGCGAAAAGAAAAGUGAAAA
Diabrotica virgifera virgifera (western corn rootworm) is the source of this 537-nucleotide long non-coding RNA. RefSeq lists it as uncharacterized. NCBI's taxonomy places the organism in Eukaryota, Metazoa, Arthropoda, Insecta, Coleoptera, Chrysomelidae. The record is from RefSeq and is a predicted model, not a curated record. The transcript is spliced from 2 exons.